GUACCAUCUAAUCUGGCAAUCUGGAUUAUGAUCGGUUCAACUAUUUUGUGGUUCCACUUCUACUAAUUGAAGCCGGUGAGUUGGUGUAUGCUUGAAGUGAGUCUGGUUCUUGCUUCAAUUCCCCCUGUUUCACCUCCAGAUCUACUCAUCGGGAGAUGGAUUCCUUGCAUUGAGAGGCUGGUCUGACGCUGUUGUUGAUAAUCAUCCAUACCUAUGCUGGACGUGGACGAAGUACACACAUGUACACGCAGCUUUUUUUUGAUCCGUUGCAUAUCAAAGCUUCAUUCAGACGAUGGACUGUCUUGCUCUACU
Triticum dicoccoides is the source of this 312-nucleotide long non-coding RNA. RefSeq lists it as uncharacterized. The record is from RefSeq and is a predicted model, not a curated record. Lineage: Eukaryota; Viridiplantae; Streptophyta; Magnoliopsida; Poales; Poaceae. The transcript has 3 exons.